Molecule: transfer-messenger RNA, 362 nt
Filed under: Chromatiaceae
Lineage: Bacteria; Pseudomonadati; Pseudomonadota; Gammaproteobacteria; Chromatiales
Also listed under: 1 other name
Description: Thiohalocapsa sp913063425 Standard tmRNA
Rfam family: transfer-messenger RNA
About the family: Bacterial tmRNA, also known as 10Sa RNA or SsrA, is named for its dual tRNA and mRNA-like properties.
Source: RNAcentral
GGGGGCGACUUGGCUUCGACGUGGGUCGCAAAACCCGAGGUGCAUGCCGAGGUGCGGGAUACCUCGUAAAACCAUCCGCAAAUCAAUAGUUGCCAACGACGACAACUACGCCCUCGCUGCUUAAUCCCAGCGGGCCUCACACCGUCACUUGCCUGUGGGCGGCGGAUUCGUGGGGUAACCUUACACAGGAUCGCGAUGACGGGGGCCCGGACCUGAUUCGCUAAAACCCCAAAUUCGGGAUCGCCGACCAAUCGCCCUGUCCCUCGGGCGGUGGAAGGUUAAACACAAUAGAGCGGACUAAGCAUGUAGUACCGACGGCGGAGGGCUCGCGGACGCGGGUUCGAUUCCCGCCGCCUCCACCA